GAUGAACGCUGGCGGCGUGCCUAAUACAUGCAAGUCGAGCGAACGGACGAGAAGCUUGCUUCUCUGAUGUUAGCGGCGGACGGGUGAGUAACACGUGGAUAACCUACCUAUAAGACUGGGAUAACUUCGGGAAACCGGAGCUAAUACCGGAUAAUAUUUUGAACCGCAUGGUUCAAAAGUGAAAGACGGUCUUGCUGUCACUUAUAGAUGGAUCCGCGCUGCAUUAGCUAGUUGGUAAGGUAACGGCUUACCAAGGCAACGAUGCAUAGCCGACCUGAGAGGGUGAUCGGCCACACUGGAACUGAGACACGGUCCAGACUCCUACGGGAGGCAGCAGUAGGGAAUCUUCCGCAAUGGGCGAAAGCCUGACGGAGCAACGCCGCGUGAGUGAUGAAGGUCUUCGGAUCGUAAAACUCUGUUAUUAGGGAAGAACAUAUGUGUAAGUAACUGUGCACAUCUUGACGGUACCUAAUCAGAAAGCCACGGCUAACUACGUGCCAGCAGCCGCGGUAAUACGUAGGUGGCAAGCGUUAUCCGGAAUUAUUGGGCGUAAAGCGCGCGUAGGCGGUUUUUUAAGUCUGAUGUGAAAGCCCACGGCUCAACCGUGGAGGGUCAUUGGAAACUGGAAAACUUGAGUGCAGAAGAGGAAAGUGGAAUUCCAUGUGUAGCGGUGAAAUGCGCAGAGAUAUGGAGGAACACCAGUGGCGAAGGCGACUUUCUGGUCUGUAACUGACGCUGAUGUGCGAAAGCGUGGGGAUCAAACAGGAUUAGAUACCCUGGUAGUCCACGCCGUAAACGAUGGGUGCUAAGUGUUAGGGGGUUUCCGCCCCUUAGUGCUGCAGCUAACGCAUUAAGCACUCCGCCUGGGGAGUACGACCGCAAGGUUGAAACUCAAAGGAAUUGACGGGGACCCGCACAAGCGGUGGAGCAUGUGGUUUAAUUCGAAGCAACGCGAAGAACCUUACCAAAUCUUGACAUCCUUUGACAACUCUAGAGAUAGAGCCUUCCCCUUCGGGGGACAAAGUGACAGGUGGUGCAUGGUUGUCGUCAGCUCGUGUCGUGAGAUGUUGGGUUAAGUCCCGCAACGAGCGCAACCCUUAAGCUUAGUUGCCAUCAUUAAGUUGGGCACUCUAAGUUGACUGCCGGUGACAAACCGGAGGAAGGUGGGGAUGACGUCAAAUCAUCAUGCCCCUUAUGAUUUGGGCUACACACGUGCUACAAUGGACAAUACAAAGGGCAGCGAAACCGCGAGGUCAAGCAAAUCCCAUAAAGUUGUUCUCAGUUCGGAUUGUAGUCUGCAACUCGACUACAUGAAGCUGGAAUCACUAGUAAUCGUAGAUCAGCAUGCUACGGUGAAUACGUUCCCGGGUCU
RNAcentral lists this ribosomal RNA (1372 nucleotides) under uncultured bacterium. Its description in RNAcentral is "bacterial SSU rRNA". It matches the Rfam family "Bacterial small subunit ribosomal RNA", at positions 28 to 1381 of the family's 1533-position model. The record is from RNAcentral.